CUCCUGAUUGAUAAACAUUUGAGUGAGUGGCGGACGGGUGAGUAACACGUGGGUAACCUGCCCUAAAGUGGGGGAUAACAUUUGGAAACAGAUGCUAAUACCGCAUAAAACCUAACACCGCAUGGUGUAGGGUUGAAAGAUGGUUUCGGCUAUCACUUUAGGAUGGACCCGCGGUGCAUUAGUUAGUUGGUGAGGUAAAGGCUCACCAAGACCGUGAUGCAUAGCCGACCUGAGAGGGUAAUCGGCCACACUGGGACUGAGACACGGCCCAGACUCCUACGGGAGGCAGCAGUAGGGAAUCUUCCACAAUGGACGAAAGUCUGAUGGAGCAACGCCGCGUGAGUGAAGAAGGUUUUCGGAUCGUAAAACUCUGUUGUUGGAGAAGAAUGUAUCUGAUAGUAACUGAUCAGGUAGUGACGGUAUCCAACCAGAAAGCCACGGCUAACUACGUGCCAGCAGCCGCGGUAAUACGUAGGUGGCAAGCGUUGUCCGGAUUUAUUGGGCGUAAAGCGAGCGCAG
RNAcentral lists this ribosomal RNA (519 nucleotides) under Latilactobacillus sakei. RNAcentral's name for it is "bacterial SSU rRNA". It matches the Rfam family "Bacterial small subunit ribosomal RNA", at positions 69 to 574 of the family's 1533-position model. The record is from RNAcentral. Lineage: Bacteria; Bacillati; Bacillota; Bacilli; Lactobacillales; Lactobacillaceae.